Molecule: ribosomal RNA, 1475 nt
Filed under: uncultured Bordetella sp.
Lineage: Bacteria; Pseudomonadati; Pseudomonadota; Betaproteobacteria; Burkholderiales; Alcaligenaceae
Description: partial 16S-23S ribosomal RNA intergenic spacer
Rfam family: Bacterial small subunit ribosomal RNA
Source: RNAcentral
GUUUGAUUAUGGCUCAGAUUGAACGCUGGCGGGAUGCUUUACACAUGCAAGUCGAACGGCAGCACGGACUUCGGUCUGGUGGCGAGUGGCGAGCGGGUGAGUAAUGUAUCGGAACGUGCCUAGUAGCGGGGGAUAACUACGCGGCGUAGCUAAUACCGCAUACGCCCUUCGAAGCGGGGACAUGGGCCUCGCACUAUUAGAAACGGCCGAUAUCGGAUUAGCUAGUUGGUGGGUAACGGCUCACCAGGCGACGAUCCGUAGCUGGUUUGAGAGGACGACCAGCCACACUGGGACGGACACGGCGGCCCAGACUCCUACGGGAGGCAGCAGUGGGGAAUUUUGGACAAUGGGGGAAACCUGAUCCAGCCAUCCCGCGUGUGCGAUGAAGGCCUUCCGGGUUGUAAAGCGCUUUUGGCAGGAAAGAAACGGCACGGGAUAAUACCCCGUGCAACUGACGGUACCUGCAGAAUAAGCACCGGCUAACUACGUGCCAGCAGCCGCGGUAAUACGUAGGGUGCAAGCGUUAAUCAGGUUACUGGGCGUAAAGCGUGCGCAGGCGGUUCGGAAAGAAGAAAGAUGUGAAUCCCAGGCUUAACUUUGGAACUGCAUUUUUAACUACCGAGCUAGAGUGUGUCAGAGGAGGUGGAAUUCCGCGUGUAGCAGUGAAAUGCGUAGAUAUGCGGAGGAACACCGAUGGCGAAGGCAGCCUCCUGGGAUAACACUGACGCUCAUGCACAGCGUGGGAGCAAACAGGAUUAGAUACCCUGGUAGUCCACGCCCUAAACGAUGUCAACUAGCUGUUGGGGCCUUCGGGCCUUGGUAGCGCAGCUAACGCGUGAAGUUGACCGCCUGGGGAGUACGGUCGCAAGAUUAAAACUCAAAGGAAUUGACGGGGACCCGCACAAGCGGUGGAUGAUGUGGAUUAAUUCGAUGCAACGCGAAAAACCUUACCUACCCUUGACAUGUCUGGAAUCCCGAAGAGAUUUGGGAGUGCUCGCAAGAGAACCGGAACACAGGUGCUGCAUGGCUGUCGUCAGCUCGUGUCGUGAGAUGUUGGGUUAAGUCCCGCAACGAGCGCAACCCUUGUCAUUAGUUGCUACGAAAGGGCACUCUAAUGAGACUGCCGGUGACAAACCGGAGGAAGGUGGGGAUGACGUCAAGUCCUCAUGGCCCUUAUGGGUAGGGCUUCACACACGUCAUACAAUGGUCGGGACAGAGGGUCGCCAACCCGCGAGGGGGAGCCAAUCCCAGAAACCCGAUCGUAGUCCGGAUCGCGCAGUCUGCAACUCGACUGCGCCGUGAAGUCAGAAUCGCCAAUCGCGGAUCAGCAUGUCGCGGUGAAUACGUUCCCGGGUCUUGUACACACCGCCCGUCACACCAUGGGAGUGGGUUUUACCAGAAGUAGUUAGCCUAACCGUAAGGAGGGCGAUUACCACGGUAGGAUUCAUGACUGGGGUAGAGUCGUAACAAGGUAG